This 492-nucleotide ribosomal RNA is filed under the name uncultured bacterium. RNAcentral's name for it is "partial 16S ribosomal RNA". It matches the Rfam family "Bacterial small subunit ribosomal RNA", at positions 29 to 507 of the family's 1533-position model. The record is from RNAcentral.
AGUGAACGCUGGCGGUAGGCCUAACACAUGCAAGUCGAACGGCAGCCCAGUAAGAGCUUGCUCUUACGGGUGGCGAGUGGCGGACGGGUGAGGAAUACAUCGGAAUCUACUUUUUCGUGGGGGAUAACGUAGGGAAACUUACGCUAAUACCGCAUACGACCUCCGGGUGAAAGCAGGGGAUCUUCGGACCUUGCGCGAUUGAAUGAGCCGAUGUCGGAUUAGCUAGUUGGCGGGGUAAAGGCCCACCAAGGCGACGAUCCGUAGCUGGUCUGAGAGGAUGAGCAGCCACACUGGAACUGAGACACGGUCCAGACUCCUACGGGAGGCAGCAGUGGGGAAUAUUGGACAAUGGGCGCAAGCCUGAUCCAGCCAUACCGCGUGGGGGAAGAAGGCCUUCGGGUUCUAAAGCCCUUUUGUUGGGAAAGAAAAGCAGCAGGUUAAUACCCCGCUGUUCUGACGGUACCCAAAGAAUAAGCACCGGCUAAGUUCGUG